UCCUACGGGAGGCAGCAGUGGGGAAUCUUGCACAAUGGGGGCAACCCUGAUGCAGCGACGCCGCGUGAACGAUGAAGCCCUUCGGGGUGUAAAGUUCUUUCGGCAGGAACGAUAAUGACGGUACCUGCAGAAGAAGCUGCGGCUAACUACGUGCCAGCAGCCGCGGUAAUACGUAGGCAGCAAGCGUUGUUCGGAGUUACUGGGCGUAAAGAGUAUGUAGGCGGUUCUGCAAGUUCGGUGUGAAAUCUCCCGGCUUAACUGGGAGGGUGCGCCGAAAACUGCAAGGCUAGAGUGCGGGAGAGGAAAGCGGAAUUCCUGGUGUAGCGGUGAAAUGCGUAGAUAUCAGGAGGAACACCGGCGGUGUAGACGGCUUUCUGGACCGUGACUGACGCUGAGAUACGAAAGCGUGGGGAGCAAACAGGAUUAGAUACCCCGGUAGC
This 440-nucleotide ribosomal RNA is filed under the name uncultured bacterium. RNAcentral describes it as "bacterial SSU rRNA". It matches the Rfam family "Bacterial small subunit ribosomal RNA", at positions 337 to 794 of the family's 1533-position model. The record is from RNAcentral.